UUGUAGAGUUUGAUUCCCCUGCUCAGAGUGAACGCUGGCGGCGUGCCUAAUACAUGCAAGUCGAACGAUGAAGCCUAGCUUGCUAGGUGGAUUAGUGGCGCACGGGUGAGUAAUGCAUAGAUAACAUGCCCUUUAGUUUGGAAUAGCCACUAGAAAUGGUGAUUAAUACCAAAUACUACCUUACGAGGGAAAGAUUUAUCGCUAAAGGAUUGGUCUAUGUCCUAUCAGCUUGUUGGUGAGGUAAAGGCUCACCAAGGCUAUGACGGGUAUCCGGCCUGAGAGGGUGAACGGACACACUGGAACUGAGACACGGUCCAGACUCCUACGGGAGGCAGCAGUAGGGAAUAUUGCUCAAUGGGGGAAACCCUGAAGCAGCAACGCCGCGUGGAGGAUGAAGGUUUUAGGAUUGUAAACUCCUUUUGUUAGAGAAGAUAAUGACGGUAUCUAACGAAUAAGCACCGGCUAACUCCGUGCCAGCAGCCGCGGUAAUACGGAGGGUGCAAGCGUUACUCGGAAUCACUGGGCGUAAAGAGUGCGUAGGCGGGAGGACAAGUCAGGUGUGAAAUCCUAUGGCUUAACCAUAGAACUGCAUUUGAAACUAUCCUUCUGGAGUGUGGGAGAGGUAGGUGGAAUUCUUGGUGUAGGGGUAAAAUCCGUAGAGAUCAAGAGGAAUACUCAUUGCGAAGGCGACCUGCUGGAACAUCACUGACGCUGAUUGCACGAAAGCGUGGGGAGCAAACAGGAUUAGAUACCCUGGUAGUCCACGCCCUAAACGAUGGAUGCUAGUUGUUGGGAGGCUUUGUCUUUCCAGUAAUGCAGCUAACGCCUUAAGCAUCCCGCCUGGGGAGUACGGUCGCAAGAUUAAAACUCAAAGGAAUAGACGGGGACCCGCACAAGCGGUGGAGCAUGUGGUUUAAUUCGAAGAUACACGAAGAACCUUACCUAGGCUUGACAUUGAAGGAAUUCCCUAGAAAUAGGGGAGUGUCUAGCUUGCUAGACCCUGAAAACAGGUGCUGCACGGCUGUCGUCAGCUCGUGUCGUGAGAUGUUGGGUUAAGUCCCGCAACGAGCGCAACCCUUUUUCUUAGUUGCUAACAGGUUAUGCUGCGCACUCUAAGAAGACUGCCUGCGUAAGCAGGAGGAAGGUGAGGACGACGUCAAGUCAUCAUGGCCCUUACGCCUAGGGCUACACACGUGCUACAAUGGGGUGCACAAAGAGAUGCAAAGCCGCGAGGCAGAGCUAAUCUAUAAAACACCUCCUAGUUCGGAUUGCAGGCUGCAACUCGCCUGCAUGAAGCUGGAAUCGCUAGUAAUCGCAAAUCAGCUAUGUUGCGGUGAAUACGUUCCCGGGUCUUGUACUCACCGCCCGUCACACCAUGGGAGUUGUGUUUGCCUUAAGUCAGGAUGCUAAAGCAGCUACUGCCCACGGCACACACAGCGACUGGGGUGAAGUCGUAACAAGGGUAGCCGUAAA
RNAcentral lists this ribosomal RNA (1473 nucleotides) under Helicobacter heilmannii. RNAcentral describes it as "bacterial SSU rRNA". It matches the Rfam family "Bacterial small subunit ribosomal RNA". Lineage: Bacteria; Pseudomonadati; Campylobacterota; Epsilonproteobacteria; Campylobacterales; Helicobacteraceae. The record is from RNAcentral.